AAUGCACUAAUUUGUAAGUCACUCUGGAUAAGAGCGUCUGCUAAAUGACUUAAA
Non-coding RNA from Salmo salar (Atlantic salmon), 54 nucleotides. The record is from Rfam. NCBI's taxonomy places the organism in Eukaryota, Metazoa, Chordata, Actinopteri, Salmoniformes, Salmonidae.